ACAUAUGCUAGAAUUUGGAACAGUACAGGGAAGGAUUAGCAUGGCCUCUUGACAGAGCAUGUACAUUUGUGAAACAGUCUUCACAUUU
This 88-nucleotide small nuclear RNA is filed under the name Cervus elaphus hippelaphus. Lineage: Eukaryota; Metazoa; Chordata; Mammalia; Artiodactyla; Cervidae. The record is from RNAcentral.